Molecule: ribosomal RNA, 253 nt
Filed under: uncultured bacterium
Lineage: Bacteria
Description: partial 16S ribosomal RNA
Rfam family: Bacterial small subunit ribosomal RNA
Source: RNAcentral
UACGUAGGGUGCAAGCGUUGUCCGGAAUUAUUGGGCGUAAAGAGCUCGUAGGUGGCCUGUCGCGUCGGCUGUGAAAACUCGGGGCUCAACUCCGAGCUUGCAGUCGAUACGGGCAGGCUAGAGUUCGGCAGGGGAGACUGGAAUUCCAGGUGUAGCGGUGAAAUGCGUAGAUAUCAAGAGGAACACCAGUGGCGAAGGCGAGUCCCUGGACAACAACUGACACUGAGGCACGAAAGCUAGGGGAGCAAACAGG